AGUAGCUAAAAGACUGUUUUUCCCCCCUCAAAUUCUCAGAAUUUGCCUUUUAUUUGGGGUUCAUUUACUUGCUAUGUAAUGGCUGAAUUACUCAGGUGAGUUUAAAUUUACCAUUAUACUAUAAUGACCCUUUAAUUUUAAUAUCUUUUUUCUCUGGAUGGUUUUAUUUUUGCCUUUCUUAAGUUUAGUUAUGGUGUGUCUAGGAGGGAAUUGCUUUUCAUUUACACUGUAGCAGUUUCUUACUAUUUCUUGAAUCUGUUGAUUCAUGUCUGUCUUUAGUUUUGGAAAACUGUCAUUAACUGUGCUUUGUUUUAUGACCUUUGAUCUCACCAGGUCAUUGACUUUUCUUCCCUUCUCUUCAGUGUUUCAUGUGUCUGAAUUUCAUUUUGGAUAUUUUCUUCUGAUGUGUCUCUCAGUUUUCCAAUUCUCUGUUAAAUUAUUUCUAAUGUGCUGUGACACGCAUCCAUCCAUUGCAUUAUUAAUUGGGAUUAUUGUAUACUUCAUUUCUAGAAUUUUUCUUUCUCUCAAAUCUACUCUGUAAUUUUUUGUGAUUUUCAUUUCUUUGCCGAAAUUUCCAAUUUUUAAUUUUUACUCCUUGAACAUAGUAAGCCCAUAGUUCUAAUAUUUGGAGCCUAUUUGCUUUUAUUGAGCAUUGCCACUACUGAUUCUCAUUCAUGACUGUUGGCUUUUCAUAUGCUUGUUUGUCUUUGAUUGUGUGACAUUUUACUGGAAAAACUGGUUUGUUUGUUUCUACAGAUCUAGAAUAUUAUAUUCCCCCAGAAAUAAUGUGUGUAUGUUUCCAGAAAUUUUUUCUGUUGUUUCUAAGAGCCCUAGCAAGGUGAUACCACCUUAUCUUGGCUCUACUUACAUUUCAAGCUGGAUAAUUCUUUAUUGUGGGGAUGUCCUAUGCCUUACAGGAUGUUUAAUAGUCUCUCAGACUCUUCCUACUAGAUAUCAAGAGUACCUCUUCCCAGUUCUGAUAAUUAAAAAAUGUCUUCAGAUAUUGUCAAAUGCCUGUUGGUACUUGAGAACCCGUCUUAACCUCUUAUUCAGUAAUUUUUACUUUGCAAGGAUUUUUCCAGUCUUUCAAAGGAAUUAAAAAAAUGAUGUUAAAAAAAUGAUCUUGUUUUUCUAGUUGUCUACAGUAAAAACUAGAUCCAAAAUCUGACAGAGAGACAUAUAUGUAUACACAUUCCUGCUGUUUGUGACAGCAGGAGAACAUCCUGUCAUAUCCUAUGACUUAUCUGCAACUAUGGAUGUAGGGAUUCUAUCUAAACUGCCUGCCUCUCACAUGGGCCAUUCUGCCACUUGGUAGAGGCUUUCUCUUUUCCUUUGCCAUGCCAGGGUUAUUUUUGCUAUUAAGACAUUCUUCAAGACAAAUGUCUAGUGAACAAUCUUCAACUUUAAACUUCAGUGGCCCAAGCUCAAAUAUUAAUAUGUACCGACUGCAAGUGCUCUUCCAUUUUUUAUUCAUGGUGUGUUUCCUGCUUGGUAUAUUGUAUGAGAUUAGGGGCGAUUUCUAGAAUAGCUACUCACAGAGAAAUCAGGGGUCCUAAAAAUCAUCUAGUCCAAACAGUUGUGGAAAUUGAAGUGUAGUAGUUUGUAUAAAUAAUACAUUGUCAUGGAAUAACUGGAACUGAAAAGAAAAAAGCCACCUCUAAAUGAAUAAGAGCCAGAGUGAACCAACUCACAUGCAAACCAGGUAAUAAAGUGACAAGGCUUGGAUUGAGGAUAUUGACAACACUUUCCCAUUGUGACCAAGAGGGGAUGAUCCCAAGCAAUACUGACUGUUCCUAUAUGAGAGAAAGAAAUGACAUUUAUUGUUUUAUGUUAGGAAUUUCUGCAUUAUUUCUUUUUUACCCUUGACAACCUUAUGGAAUCUACUUAAGAUCUUUUUUUAAUCUCCAUUUUUAAUGAGGAAUCAGUGGUUUAGUGUGCUGUAAUUUGCUUCAAAUCACCAGGAUAAUAAGUGGCCAAACUGGGAUAUUAGAUUGGCUCUACCCUCUAAGUCUGUAACUUUUUUUUCUUAUAUUUUGCUAUAACCUCUAAGUCUGUAACUUUUUUUCUUAUAUUUUGCUAUUCCUACAGUUCUCUUAGGGUCAUGACUUUUCUUUUUAGGGCAUGUAUUUAAAAUGUAUAUUUCAGAAGCCCAUAUUUCUCUAAGUUACCAUUGAGUCUUAGGUGGGAAUCCAGUGAGAAGAAGGACUCAUAUCAGAAAGGUACUCUUUGGAGAGCUGUGAGGUGGCCACCAGGAGACCCUGGUGGGUCUUACCUGUCACACAAAACCAGAAGUAGAGGCUAAAGAAUAUAAGUGCCUAAUUUUUUAGAUUUGCACCCUUUCUCUUCUUCUUAGCUCCACUUUUUUCUUCUGUGGAAUAAAUCCCCCUAAGUGCAAUAGUUUCUCAAAGAUGGCCAAACCAUUCUGGUAUUAGGAUCUAGGAAGGAAAUCUUGGAAGAUAAGGCAAGGUAUUGGACAAUUUGGUAACUCUUGAUGUUUUCUAGAACUUGGAGGAUGAGGGAGGGUAUGUUCUUUCUUGAAGGAAUUUUCUACUUCUAGUUCUGGCCAGCAUGAGAACACUGAGAACUAUCUAAUCAUUUGUGAUUCCUUCACUAGCAAUAAAAUACUCUUCCAACAGGAGGAUUUAAUUUCAGCAGCAAAUAACUUCAAAAUGACUCUAAAUGAGGUCCAAAUGGGUCUCAAUUUGGCCUCAAAUCAAGCAAUGGACAUGCCACAAUAUUGGUAGAAGGCUCUGGGAAGUUCUAGCACUACACGAAUGUUUAAACAUUCUUUUUGUUGAUAAGAUAUUGUUUUACCUUGUCAGAUAUAUUUCCAGAUUGAUUAUGAGGUUAGUUCAGGAUAAUUACUCACAGGUAGAUUAGGUGGCUGCUUCUUUUCCUCUCACUGCAUUCCUCAUUUGGUUCUCACCAAUUCCUACUCAUUUUUGCAUGGUGUUAUACUCUACUUCAUCUCAUCCACAGAAAGAAGAAAAUUCUGGAAGUUGCAUAUUAGCUGUUCCUUAAAUGAUACACACACACACAGCCCCAUUCUGUUAGUUUCUUUGGCUUUUACAAAGUGUUGGUAGCUUCAAUACUCUUGUGCUAGAUAUUUGAUAAAAACUACACUAAGAUUUGGAAAGGUAGUAUUUUGUGAAAAA
RNAcentral lists this long non-coding RNA (3155 nucleotides) under Canis lupus familiaris (dog). Its description in RNAcentral is "lncRNA (ENSCAFG00805022924.1, ENSCAFG00845031111.1)". Lineage: Eukaryota; Metazoa; Chordata; Mammalia; Carnivora; Canidae. The record is from RNAcentral.